Molecule: ribosomal RNA, 405 nt
Filed under: Acanthamoeba sp.
Lineage: Eukaryota; Discosea; Longamoebia; Acanthamoebidae
Description: SSU rRNA
Rfam family: Eukaryotic small subunit ribosomal RNA
Source: RNAcentral
AGGCAGAUUCAUUUUCUGCCACCGAAUACAUUAGCAUGGGAUAAUGGAAUAGGACCCUGUCCUCCUAUUUUCAGUUGGUUUUGGCAGCGCGAGGACUAGGGUAAUGAUUAAUAGGGAUAGUUGGGGGCAUUAAUAUUUAAUUGUCAGAGGUGAAAUUCUUGGAUUUAUGAAAGAUUAACUUCUGCGAAAGCAUCUGCCAAGGAUGUUUUCAUUAAUCAAGAACGAAAGUUAGGGGAUCGAAGACGAUCAGAUACCGUCGUAGUCUUAACCAUAAACGAUGCCGACCAGCGAUUAGGAGACGUUGAAUACAAAACACCACCAUCGGCGCGGUCGUCCUUGGCGCGUUCGUGUUCACGCACGGGCGCGCGAGGGCGGUUUAGCCCGGUGGCACCGGUGAAUGACUCC